Molecule: unclassified non-coding RNA, 237 nt
Filed under: plant metagenome
Description: partial contains small subunit ribosomal RNA, internal transcribed spacer 1, and 5.8S ribosomal RNA
Source: RNAcentral
UUUCCGUAGGUGAACCUGCGGAAGGAUCAUUGCAAACCAGCGAGUGCUGGGAGGUGUUGGGAUGAAAACGCCUAGGAACCGCACGUCGGGGAAUCGUCGACCAGAGAGAACUCACAGCACUGCUCAUAUAUGGACGGCUGGCUGGUCUCUGACUGCGUGCUGAUGUUUACGCUUGUUUGAUUGACAAAUCUUUGCAUCAAAAUUUCAAAACUUUUAACAACGGAUCUCUUGGCUCUG